RNAcentral lists this ribosomal RNA (253 nucleotides) under uncultured bacterium. RNAcentral's name for it is "partial 16S ribosomal RNA". It matches the Rfam family "Bacterial small subunit ribosomal RNA", at positions 524 to 776 of the family's 1533-position model. The record is from RNAcentral.
UACGAAGGGGGCGAGCGUUGUUCGGAUUUACUGGGCGUAAAGGGCUCGUAGGCGGCCAACUAAGUCAGACGUGAAAUCCCUCGGCUUAACCGGGGAACUGCGUCUGAUACUGGAUGGCUUGAGGUUGGGAGAGGGAUGCGGAAUUCCAGGUGUAGCGGUGAAAUGCGUAGAUAUCUGGAGGAACACCGGUGGCGAAGGCGGCAUCCUGGACCAAUUCUGACGCUGAGGAGCGAAAGCCAGGGGAGCAAACGGG